CCAGACUCCUACGGGAGGCAGCAGUGGGGAAUAUUGCACAAUGGGGGAAACCCUGAUGCAGCGACGCCGCGUGAAGGAUGAAGUAUUUCGGUAUGUAAACUUCUAUCAGCAGGGAAGAAAAUGACGGUACCUGACUAAGAAGCCCCGGCUAACUACGUGCCAGCAGCCGCGGUAAUACGUAGGGGGCAAGCGUUAUCCGGAUUUACUGGGUGUAAAGGGAGCGUAGACGGCAUGGCAAGUCUGAUGUGAAAACCCGGGGCUCAACCCCGGGACUGCAUUGGAAACUGUCAGGCUGGAGUGUCGGAGAGGCAAGUGGAAUUCCUAGUGUAGCGGUGAAAUGCGUAGAUAUUAGGAGGAACACCAGUGGCGAAGGCGGCUUGCUGGACGAUGACUGACGUUGAGGCUCGAAAGCGUGGGGAGCAAACAGGAUUAGAUACCCUGGUAA
This 445-nucleotide ribosomal RNA is filed under the name uncultured bacterium. RNAcentral describes it as "bacterial SSU rRNA". It matches the Rfam family "Bacterial small subunit ribosomal RNA", at positions 331 to 793 of the family's 1533-position model. The record is from RNAcentral.